Podarcis lilfordi (Lilford's wall lizard) is the source of this 73-nucleotide non-coding RNA. Lineage: Eukaryota; Metazoa; Chordata; Lepidosauria; Squamata; Lacertidae. The record is from the annotation of a GenBank genome assembly.
GCUGGGAUAGCUCAGUUGGUAGAGCAUGAGACUCUUGAUCUCAGGGUCAUGGGUUCAAGCCCUACAUUGGGCG